Molecule: ribosomal RNA, 347 nt
Filed under: uncultured bacterium
Lineage: Bacteria
Description: partial 16S ribosomal RNA
Rfam family: Bacterial small subunit ribosomal RNA
Source: RNAcentral
CCUACGGGUGGCAGCAGUCGGGAAUAUUGGGCAAUGGGCGCAAGCCUGACCCAGCAACGCCGCGUGAAGGAAGAAGGCUUUCGGGUGGUAAACUUCUUUUGUCAGGGACGAAUCAUGUGACGGUCCCUGCCGACUAAGCCACGGCUAAAUACGUGCCCGCUUCCGCGGGAAUACGUAGGUGGCAAGCGUUAUCCGGAUUUAGUGGGUGUAAGGGGGGUUUAGGUGGGAGUGCAAGUCAGAUGUGAAAACCCCGGGCUGAACCGGUGGACUGCAUUUGAUACUGUAGUUCUGGAGUACUGGAGAGGCAGACGGAAUGCCUAGUGUAGCGGUGAAAUGCGUAGAUAUUA